RNAcentral lists this transfer RNA (70 nucleotides) under Loxodonta africana (African savanna elephant). It matches the Rfam family "tRNA". Rfam says of the family: Transfer RNA (tRNA) molecules are approximately 80 nucleotides in length. Their secondary structure includes four short double-helical elements and three loops (D, anti-codon, and T loops). Further hydrogen bonds mediate the characteristic L-shaped molecular structure. tRNAs have two regions of fundamental functional importance: the anti-codon, which is responsible for specific mRNA codon recognition, and the 3' end, to which the tRNAs corresponding amino acid is attached (by aminoacyl-tRNA synthetases). tRNAs cope with the degeneracy of the genetic code in two manners: having more than one tRNA (with a specific anti-codon) for a particular amino acid; and 'wobble' base-pairing, i.e. permitting non-standard base-pairing at the 3rd anti-codon position. The record is from Rfam by way of RNAcentral. Lineage: Eukaryota; Metazoa; Chordata; Mammalia; Proboscidea; Elephantidae.
GUUGUGGUGGUUCAGUGGUAGAAUUCUUGCCUUCCAUGCAGAAGGCCUGGUUUAAUUCCUGGCCAGUACA